RNAcentral lists this ribosomal RNA (899 nucleotides) under Salmonella enterica subsp. enterica serovar Anatum. RNAcentral's name for it is "partial 23S ribosomal RNA". It matches the Rfam family "Bacterial large subunit ribosomal RNA", at positions 667 to 1486 of the family's 2925-position model. The record is from RNAcentral. Lineage: Bacteria; Pseudomonadati; Pseudomonadota; Gammaproteobacteria; Enterobacterales; Enterobacteriaceae.
CGGAGGGAAACCGAGUCUUAAUUGGGCGUUAAGUUGCAGGGUAUAGACCCGAAACCCGGUGAUCUAGCCAUGGGCAGGUUGAAGGUUGGGUAACACUAACUGGAGGACCGAACCGACUAAUGUUGAAAAAUUAGCGGAUGACCUGUGGCUGGGGGUGAAAGGCCAAUCAAACCGGGAGAUAGCUGGUUCUCCCCGAAAGCUAUUUAGGUAGCGCCUCGUGAAUUCAUCUCCGGGGGUAGAGCACUGUUUCGGCUAGGGGGCCAUCCCGGCUUACCAACCCGAUGCAAACUGCGAAUACCGGAGAAUGUUAUCACGGGAGACACACGGCGGGUGCUAACGUCCGUCGUGAAGAGGGAAACAACCCAGACCGCCAGCUAAGGUCCCAAAGUCAUGGUUAAGUGGGAAACGAUGUGGGAAGGCCCAGACAGCCAGGAUGUUGGCUUAGAAGCAGCCAUCAUUUAAAGAAAGCGUAAUAGCUCACUGGUCGAGUCGGCCUGCGCGGAAGAUGUAACGGGGCUAAACCAUGCACCGAAGCUGCGGCAGCGAACGUAUCACUUAAAGCGAUUCAGCGGGUUACGAUUGACGGAGCGAAGCGACGUCAAAGCGUAUACAAAGUCGAGUCGGUUUAAGGAUACGUUCGUUGGGUAGGGGAGCGUUCUGUAAGCCUGUGAAGGUGGCCUGUGAGGGUUGCUGGAGGUAUCAGAAGUGCGAAUGCUGACAUAAGUAACGAUAAAGCGGGUGAAAAGCCCGCUCGCCGGAAGACCAAGGGUUCCUGUCCAACGUUAAUCGGGGCAGGGUGAGUCGACCCCUAAGGCGAGGCCGAAAGGCGUAGUCGAUGGGAAACGGGUUAAUAUUCCCGUACUUGGUGUUACUGCGAAGGGGGGACGGAGAAGGCUAUG